UGUGAAGACACGUGUUGGACACGAGUUUGGCAUGUGUCCUAUGCACAGGACACGUGCCAAACCUGUGUCCGACAUGUGCCCUACACA
This 87-nucleotide microRNA precursor is filed under the name Picea abies (Norway spruce). RNAcentral describes it as "miR11464b stem-loop (pab-MIR11464b)". Lineage: Eukaryota; Viridiplantae; Streptophyta; Pinopsida; Pinales; Pinaceae. The record is from miRBase by way of RNAcentral.